Canis lupus familiaris (dog) is the source of this 137-nucleotide non-coding RNA. NCBI's taxonomy places the organism in Eukaryota, Metazoa, Chordata, Mammalia, Carnivora, Canidae. The record is from Rfam.
AACUUUGCGCAGUGGCAGUAUCGUAGCCAAUGAGGUUUAUCCGAGGCGCGAUUAUUGCUAAUAGAAAGUUACUGCUCUAAUAAAAGAGGGUCAGAUAAAGUUCUGUGAAAUGUAAUUAUUUAGUCAUUUAAAAAUAU